This 534-nucleotide ribosomal RNA is filed under the name uncultured bacterium. RNAcentral describes it as "bacterial SSU rRNA". It matches the Rfam family "Bacterial small subunit ribosomal RNA", at positions 777 to 1297 of the family's 1533-position model. The record is from RNAcentral.
AAUAGAUACCCCGGUAGUCCUGGCCGUAAACGAUGGGCACUGGGUAGGGGGCUCUCCGAUGGGGCUCCCUGCCGAAGCGAAAGCGUGAAGUGCCCCGCCUGGGGAGUAUGGUCGCGAGGCUGAAACUCAAAGGAAUUGACGGGGGGCUCACACAAGCGGUGGAGCAUGUGGCUUAAUUCGAGGCUACGCGAAGAACCUUAUCCUGGGCUUGACAUGCAGGGAUUAGUCGGCGGAAACGUCGAUGACGCCGCGAGGUGGAACCUGCACAGGUGCUGCAUGGCUGUCGUCAGCUCGUGCCGUGAGGUGUUGGGUUAAGUCCCGUAACGAGCGAAACCCCUGUGAUCAGUUGCCAGCGCGUCAAGGCGGGGACUCUGAUCAGACCGCCGGCGUCAAGCCGGAGGAAGGCGGGGACGACGUCAAGUCAUCAUGGCCCUUAUGCCCAGGGCUGCACACGUGCUACAAUGGGGGCGGACAGAGCGUCGCCGAGGCCGCGAGGCCGAGCUAAUCGCAAAAACUCGCCCCCCCGAGUUCGGU